UUGACAGAGUGGUCAUUGAGAACAAUGCCAACCCCAGCAUUGAAGAUGGAAGAAUGAGUGCCACUGUUAAAGUUGAAGGAAACAACUUGGUCCUCAGUAGAGCCCGGAAUGCCCUUGAGAGACCCUCUAAUGCCUACUUCACCACCUUGAUGUCAUCGUAUUUG
This 164-nucleotide long non-coding RNA is filed under the name Lynx pardinus (Iberian lynx). Lineage: Eukaryota; Metazoa; Chordata; Mammalia; Carnivora; Felidae. The record is from RNAcentral.